Molecule: transfer RNA, 53 nt
Filed under: Cyrtodactylus saiyok
Lineage: Eukaryota; Metazoa; Chordata; Lepidosauria; Squamata; Gekkonidae
Description: partial tRNA-Tyr
Source: RNAcentral
GGCCGAGUAGGUGGCAAGUUGUAGCCUUGUUCACGGGGCCGUGCCCCCCCCAG